CGCCUAACCCCUACGGUUUUCCAUAGGGUAUGGCAUAAAAACCAACGACGGUAAAAAGCUCCUAGUCAGAGCACCGUCGUUGGUCAUGCCUCGAAAGGGGUGUGGGUCCCGCAAGGGAUC
Molecule: small RNA, 120 nt
Filed under: unclassified sequences
Description: LOOT RNA
Rfam family: LOOT RNA
About the family: Latescibacteria, OD1/Parcubacteria, OP11, TM7. Lineage (Microgenomates, aka OP11)
Source: Rfam by way of RNAcentral